Herpailurus yagouaroundi (jaguarundi) is the source of this 659-nucleotide long non-coding RNA. RefSeq lists it as uncharacterized. The transcript has 5 exons. The record is from RefSeq and is a predicted model, not a curated record. Lineage: Eukaryota; Metazoa; Chordata; Mammalia; Carnivora; Felidae.
UCCUUCCGGUCCGAGGGACCGGCGAAGGCUGCGGGUCGUGCCUCAGCUGCUGCGCAUGCGUGUGUGGUGUUGGGUGAUGUCGGCGUUCUUCCUCUCCUUGUGUUUUCCAGCUCCUUGAUGCUCAAACUGUGCUGCAGGCACUUGUGGCAUCAGCAUCACCUGGGAACUAUUGGAAGUGUGGAGUUCCUGGUCCCAUUCCAGACCUGUUGAGCUAGAAUCUGCAUUCUCAGAUAAUUCCUAUUAUUGGAGUAAUGCUCUCAUGGAGAAAGGAAACUGGUUCCAAUUUAGUGUCAGUUCCAGGAUAAUCAUCCAGGGUAAUCACUUUCUCUGCCUGGCUGAGGAUGAUCCAUCUUGUGAAAGGUCAAAGAGUAAAUAUCUAUGUAGAAAGAUCUGAAGAACAUGUUGACAAGCUGGCUUGAAUCAUUUAAAUUAUUCGCACUUCUCUAUGGCUGGCAGAAGAACUUCUGCAGGAAAGAACAUAGCCGAAUGGCCCUAACAGUGAAGUAGAGUGACUCAGGAUUCCACAGAAGCUGAAGGAGAGUACACGGGACGAACACAUUUUCUGGAGGGAGCGGUAUUGGAAUCCCAAGGCGCUGGGCACGGCUCCCGAGGAAGAGACAGAACGUGAGCAGGGGAGGGUCAGAGAGAGAGGAAGACAC